UCAGUUACACUUAGCGUUUCUUGAUCCAUUACUAUACUUUCCAAAUUAACCACCUCUUUGAGGUAGCUUUCAAUGUGAGCCUCUAUUGCAGCUAUUGGCUUUGAUAUUGGCUCGGUCAUGGAUGUUGACUUAUUCUUUACGACUUAAGGGUAUCCUAAUUCUGUUCCUUUCUAACACCUACACACAAAAUUAUCUUGACUAGCAAAUAAUAAAUACACACAACACAUAAUAGUUUUAUAAGUUAUCUUUUAUUUUGUU
RNAcentral lists this long non-coding RNA (258 nucleotides) under Panax ginseng (ginseng). RNAcentral describes it as "long non-coding RNA (PGIN_LNC015958)". The record is from RNAcentral. Lineage: Eukaryota; Viridiplantae; Streptophyta; Magnoliopsida; Apiales; Araliaceae.